GACGAACGCUGGCGGCAUGCCUAACACAUGCAAGUCGAACGAGACGUUCCGGUCUUGUGGCGCUCGGGGACGUGCCGACUGGUGACCAACCCUUGGGUUCGGUAUACCUCCCCGAGGGGGGUGCUCAUACCAGUGAAGGUCAUCGGGCCAAAGAUCUCUGGCCAUUGGAUGGGCGCGCGUUGGAUUAGCUAGUUGGUAGGGUACAAGCCUCGCAAGGCGACGAUCCUUAGCUGGUCGGAUAGGAUGCUCAGCCACACUGGGACUGAGACACGGCCCAGACUGCUACGGGAGGGAGCAGUGUGGAACAUAGUACAAGGAGCGAAAGUCUGAUCCAGCAAUGCCGCGUGAGAGAUGAAGGCCUUAGUGUUGUAAAGCUGUUUUACCCGGGAUGAUAAUGACAGUACCGGGUGAAUAAGCUCCGGCUAACUACGUG
RNAcentral lists this ribosomal RNA (433 nucleotides) under uncultured bacterium. Its description in RNAcentral is "partial 16S ribosomal RNA". It matches the Rfam family "Bacterial small subunit ribosomal RNA", at positions 28 to 507 of the family's 1533-position model. The record is from RNAcentral.